UAUGUGAAUUGCAGAAUUCAGUGAAUCAUCGAAUCUUUGAACGCACAUUGCGCCCCUUGGUAUUCCGAGGGGCAUGCCUGUUCGAGCGUCAUUACACCACUCAAGCUCGGCUUGGCAAUGGGUCUACGCCCCCGGGCGUGCCUAAAAGUUAGUGGCGAUGCCGCCUGGCUUCAAGCGUAGUAAUUGUUUUCGCUUUGGAAGUUGGGUGUGACAUCUGCCAACCAAAAACCCCCAAUUCAAAGGUUGACCUCGGAUCAGGUAGGGAUACCCGCUGAACUUAAGCAUAUCAAUAAGCGGAGGAAAAGAAACCAACAGGGAUUGCCUCAGUAACGGCGAGUGAAGCGGCAACAGCUCAAAAUUUGAAAUCUGGCUCCCCCGGGGCCCCUAGUUGUAGUUUGUAGAGGAUGCUUGCGGGUGCGGUGCCGGUCUUCCCUUGGAACAGGACGUCCUAGGGUUAGAAUUCCCGUUUGUUACCGGAUUCCUUUCCCUGUCUCCUUCGACAGUUAUU
Molecule: ribosomal RNA, 508 nt
Filed under: uncultured Lecanoraceae
Lineage: Eukaryota; Fungi; Ascomycota; Lecanoromycetes; Lecanorales
Description: eukaryotic LSU rRNA
Rfam family: Eukaryotic large subunit ribosomal RNA (bases 245-508)
Source: RNAcentral